AGUGGCAGACGGGUGAGCAACAUGUAGGUAUCUGCCCUUUGGCCUGGAAUAACACGAGGAAACUUGUGCUAAUACCGGAUAAGUCUAUACAGAGAAAGCUUUAUGCACCAUUGGAUGAGCCUGCACUUGAUUAGUUUGUUGGUGGGGUAAUGGCCUACCAAGACUUUGAUCAAUAGCUGAUUUGAGAGGAUGAUCAGCCACAUUGGGACUGAGACACGGCCCAAACUCCUACGGGAGGCAGCAGUGGGGAAUCUUGCACAAUGGAGGAAACUCUGAUGCAGCGAUGCCGCGUGAGUGAAGAAGGCCUUUGGGUUGUAAAGCUCUUUCGUCGGGGAAGAAAAUGACUGUACCCGAAUAAGAAGGUCCGGCUAACUUCGUGCCAGCAGCCGCGGUAAUACGAAGGGACCUAGCGUAGUUCGGAAUUACUGGGCUUAAAGAGUUCGUAGGUGGUUGAAAAAGUUGGUGGUGAAAUCCCAGAGCUUAACUCUGGAACUGCCAUCAAAACUUUUCAGCUAGAGUUUGAUAGAGGAAAGCAGAAUUUCUAGUGUAGAGGUGAAAUUCGUAGAUAUUAGAAAGAAUACCAAUUGCGAAGGCAGCUUUCUGGAUCAUUACUGACACUGAGGAACGAAAGCAUGGGUAGCGAAGAGGAUUAGAUACCCUCGUAGUCCAUGCCGUAAACGAUGUGUGUUAGACGUUGGAAAUUUAUUUUCAGUGUCGCAGCGGAAGCGAUAAACACACCGCCUGGGGAGUAC
Molecule: ribosomal RNA, 752 nt
Filed under: uncultured marine bacterium
Lineage: Bacteria
Description: bacterial SSU rRNA
Rfam family: Bacterial small subunit ribosomal RNA
Source: RNAcentral